RNAcentral lists this ribosomal RNA (207 nucleotides) under uncultured bacterium. RNAcentral describes it as "partial 16S ribosomal RNA". It matches the Rfam family "Bacterial small subunit ribosomal RNA", at positions 568 to 774 of the family's 1533-position model. The record is from RNAcentral.
UGUGUAGGCGGGCCAGCAAGUCAGAGGUGAAAUCCUGCGGCUUAACCGUAGAACUGCCUCUGAUACUGCUGAUCUUGAGUCUCGGAGAGGUCACUAGAAUUCGUGGUGUAGCGGUGAAAUGCGUAGAUAUCACGAGGAAUACCUGAGGCGUAGGCGGGUGACUGGACGAGUACUGACGCUGAGGCACGAAAGCGUGGGGAGCAAACA